Molecule: long non-coding RNA, 1084 nt
Filed under: Apteryx haastii (Great spotted kiwi)
Lineage: Eukaryota; Metazoa; Chordata; Aves; Apterygiformes; Apterygidae
Description: lncRNA (ENSAHAG00000002662.1)
Source: RNAcentral
UCCUGUGUUAGGCUAAAACUUAUACCUACUGAUGCCUGCUUAACUGCUCUCAUUUAGUACUUUUAAUUAUUUACUGUUUGGUAAGUUGGUGUUGUGGGAGGAAACCUCACAAUUAUUGAUUGUAAAAGGCCAAUUGCUUUUACGCUCAUGUGACCAAAAAAUGUUUUUAUUUAACAUUUUAACCCUUCCAAAUAUGUGGAUUAGCCGAAGUAACAUAAGGUGACUGUUGUCAUGUCUUAAAUUUAGCAGUGUAUUUUGGAGAAAUUGUUAGCUGCUUGUAUGCUUUUAUUAAAAAAGAAAAGGGAGGGUUAUCAGAGUAGAAGAAAUAAACAAUGUGUUAAGGAUUUGUUAAGCCUCCUGGACUGUUAGGGAGUAUGGAAAGGAAUUAAAAGUAGUAAAAGGCUCUAGGAAGGAGCUGAACGAUUUCUUUGUGUUACUCUUCACCACAAAAGAUGUUGUGGACGUUUCUAUUCUUGUCAGAUAAUGUUGAUGGGGUAUUAUCUGGUUAUCUGAUGAGAGAAUGAAGUAUCAAAAGAUCAAGUGCUAGAAUAAAGUGAUAAAGACCCCUAAGCCUAAAUCAUGAGGGCUAGAUGAGAUUCAUUCUUUCAGUGGUUCUAAAGAAUGAAGUGGCUGAUCUGCUAACAAGAAUGGGCCUCAUAAGAUGAGAUGCUAUGUCAGAAGACUGGAAGCUAGCAAGUGUUGCGUAUACCAUACUUUUAAACUGAGCACAAGGAGCAGCCCUGGAAUUUGCAGAUGCACAAUCCAUAUGUUAAUGCCAAUAAUGGCAAUACAUUCAUUCUGCCAUUUGGAGGAGCCUGUGCCACAGAAUAAUGAUCUGAAGAAGGCUAACUUGCUUGCAAAGAGCCUUCAUUUGGGAAACAGUAGUGAUGCAGCAAAGAGGUGCUUUGUCAAGUUCAGCAGAACUAUUAUUGCACCUAGCACAAACUCCAGUACAUGGACAAAGCUGGUUUUCCUCAAAGAAUAAACAAAAUUGCAUAUCCGAAGAAUAAGAAGGUCUUUGACAUUCAGUGGGAUGAGAAUCUCAGAACAGACUGAUACUGGGGACUCCCAAGCUACAGUUCAG